This 464-nucleotide ribosomal RNA is filed under the name uncultured bacterium. RNAcentral describes it as "partial 16S ribosomal RNA". It matches the Rfam family "Bacterial small subunit ribosomal RNA", at positions 28 to 507 of the family's 1533-position model. The record is from RNAcentral.
GACGAACGCUGGCGGCGUGCUUAACACAUGCAAGUCGAACGGUAAGGCCCUUUCGGGGGUACACGAGUGGCGAACGGGUGAGUAACACGUGGGUGAUCUGCCCUGCACUUUGGGAUAAGCCUGCGAAACUGGGUCUAAUACCGGAUAGGACUACGCGAUGCAUGUCGUGUGGUGGAAAGCUUUUGCGGUGUGGGAUGGGCCCGCGGCCUAUCAGCUUGUUGGUGGGGUGAUGGCCUACCAAGGCUACGACGGGUAGCCGGCCUGAGAGGGUGUCCGGCCACGCUAGGACUGAGAUACGACACAGACUCCUACGGGAGGCAGCAGUGGGGAAUAUUGCACAAUGGGCGCAGGCCUGAUGCAGCGACGCAGCGUGGGGGAUGACGGCCUUCGGGUUGUAAACCCCUGUCAGCACAGACGAAGCGUAAGUGACGGUAUGUGCAGAAGAAGCACCGGCCAACUACGUG